AUGCCUAAUCUGCUUGCAAGGCUCGGGAACGGCGGGCGUGGAGCUUGCUACGGCGUCGUGGCGUCCUUGGCAUUGGCGCUCGUGUUCUGCGUGCUCGUCGCCACCGUCAGCGUCUGGAAGGCCUUCUUGUUCGCCGGCAUGGCGUUGACCGCCUUCGGCAUCGGUGAGUGCCUCGCGCCCAAUAGCUGGCGCGUCGGCGCCGCCGCCGAGCGUGAGAUUACAGCAGGCGUGCCUUUGGCAGCAUGCCGGUUCGGGCUCGGGAAGGCCACGAUCGACUCGUUGCCCACGUUCGCGUACGCAUCCUGUGGCGCCGAUGCCGAUGCCGACCUCGAAUGCGGUAGCGCCCAGCUGUGCUCUGUGUGCUUGGAAGACCUUGAGGACGGCGAGAUGGUGCGGGAACUGCCGUCGUGCAAGCACAUCUUCCAUGUCGAGUGCAUUGACAUGUGGCUGCACUCACACACCACUUGUCCUAUCUGCCGCUGCGACCUCUCGCCACAGCGGACAUGUACUUCCAAAGUGGCGGCGGUAGAGACGGAACCGCCGGCUGUGCGGCCGCCUGUGUAG
This 564-nucleotide ribosomal RNA is filed under the name Triticum aestivum (bread wheat). RNAcentral's name for it is "partial small subunit ribosomal RNA". The record is from RNAcentral. Lineage: Eukaryota; Viridiplantae; Streptophyta; Magnoliopsida; Poales; Poaceae.